Ixodes scapularis (black-legged tick) is the source of this 82-nucleotide non-coding RNA. Lineage: Eukaryota; Metazoa; Arthropoda; Arachnida; Ixodida; Ixodidae. The record is from Rfam.
GCAGUCGUGGCCGAGUGGUUAAGGCGAUAGACUAGAAAUCCAUUGGGGUCUCCCCGCACAGGUUCGAAUCCUGUCGACUGCG